Long non-coding RNA from Puntigrus tetrazona (Sumatra barb), 1001 nucleotides. RefSeq lists it as uncharacterized. The transcript has 3 exons. NCBI's taxonomy places the organism in Eukaryota, Metazoa, Chordata, Actinopteri, Cypriniformes, Cyprinidae. The record is from RefSeq and is a predicted model, not a curated record.
AAAACGAAAUAAAGUAUUUACUUAAUAUUCAUGAGCUCCCUGCGUAUGUCGCCGAGCAUAGCAUAGCAGAUAAACAUUAACUAUCCGUUUAAACUUUAUAAUUCGAUUAAAAACAAUCGGGUUUACUGUAUCACUACAUAGUCAUACUAUAUAAUACACAUAUAAUCACAUCUUGUGUCAACUUAACGAGCAGCCUGCGUCUUUUUGGGGGGCGUUAUUAACGAGAGCGACCAUAUCGUGUUGACUUUUUGACAUGUUUCAGCCUGGGUGGAUGCAGUGUGGGAUUUCGAGUUCACGCACACAGACCCUCUUGACCCAGUUAUUGAGGAGGAGAUAAAGGAAGGCCCUGAUGUUUUCAAAACAAUUUACGUGCAGCUUUUGCCCUUCUCCAAUGAGGAGGAUGACAAUACACAGAGUGUCUGGGUGGUGUUCGGUGAGAACGGAGUCUCUGCAAAAACUGUCCUUUCCUACUUCAUCCUUGGUGCUAAAACCAGAAGUCCCAGUCUUGAACAGAGACUAUGUGGUCUACAGGCAGCCUCUCUAUACUUGUUGUUGCUAAAAAUACCUGGUAGUUUAUGUGGUUUUGAGUAUUGUAAAUCACAGUACUUUGCUGGAUAUCUGAUGAGCACACUACUGAGUGCACUGCAGCACUGCAGGGCAUCGACUCCAAGACUGUGAUCCUACUGGGAAAAGUUGCACUCUGGGUGAUGGUUUUUGCAUAUGAUAGAUUUGUCCAGCAUCACCAUGGCACAGUGAGACGGAGAGCUUAUCUGGACUUCUACAGACUGACCCGCAGAAUAAAAAACCUUCCACUGCUCAUUCACUCUGCAGGUGAAAACAUAUGUUUCGCAUUAUGUUAACAUUCCACUCCUGGUCAUUAAGUGAAAAGUUGCUCAUGCUAAUCGAAGUACUCUUUCAGUCACAUGUUAAAUGCUUGUUAGGGUUCACAACUGACCACUAGAUGGCAGCAGAAAAGCUAUUAUUGAAUGUGAGGGACCGAG